Molecule: ribosomal RNA, 293 nt
Filed under: uncultured bacterium
Lineage: Bacteria
Description: partial 16S ribosomal RNA
Source: RNAcentral
GGACUACAGGGGUAUCUAAUCCUGUUUGCUCCCCUAGCUUUCGCGCUUCAGCGUCAGGUCUGGCACAGAAAACCGUCUUCACCACUGGUGUUCUUCCACAUAUCUACGCAUUUCACCGCUACACGUGGAAUUCCGUUUUCCCUUACCAUCCUCUAACCUCGGAAGUUUCAAAUGCAGCUCUGGGGUUGAGCCCCAGAAUUUCACAUCUGACUUUCCAAGCCGCCUACGCGCCCUUUACGCCCAGUAAUUCCGAUCAAUGCUUGCACCCUCCGUAUUACCGCGGCGGCUGGCAC